Molecule: ribosomal RNA, 539 nt
Filed under: uncultured bacterium
Lineage: Bacteria
Description: bacterial SSU rRNA
Rfam family: Bacterial small subunit ribosomal RNA
Source: RNAcentral
GACGAACGCUGGCGGCGUGCCUAAUACAUGCAAGUCGAGCGAGCCUUAUUAAAUGAUUUUGAUGCUUGCAUUAAAAUCAUUUAAUAAGGCGAGCGGCGAACUGGUGAGUAACACGUAGGUAACCUGCCCAAAAGAAGGGGAUAACACCUGGAAACAGAUGCUAAUACCGUAUAACAAUGAGAAUCACAUGAUUCUAAUUUAAAAGAUGGCUUUUAUGCUAUCGCUUUUGGAUGGACCUGCGGCGCAUUAGCUAGUUGGUAAGAUAAUAGCUUACCAAGGCAAUGAUGCGUAGCCGACCUGAGAGGGUAAUCGGCCACACUGGAACUGAGACACGGUCCAGACUCCUACGGGAGGCAGCAGUAGGGAAUCUUCCACAAUGGACGAAAGUCUGAUGGAGCAACGUCGCGUGAGUGAAGAAGGGUUUCGGCUCGUAAAACUCUGUUGUUGGAGAAGAAUGAAUAUGAUAGUAACUGAUCAUAUUGUGACGGUAUCUAACCAGAAAGUCACGGCUAACUACGUGCCAGCCGCCGCCGUAACAC